UGCGCAGGCGGAAUGAUAAGUCAGUGGUGAAAUCCUACAGCUUAACUGUAGAACUGCCAUUGAUACUGUUGUUCUUGAGUACAUUUGUAGUGGGCGGAAUGUGUCAUGUAGCGGUGAAAUGCUUAGAGAUGACACAGAACACCGAUCGCGAAGGCAGCUCACUAAACUGUAACUGACGCUGAGGCACGAAAGCGUGAGGAUCAAACAGGAUUAGAUACCCUGGUAGUCC
This 229-nucleotide ribosomal RNA is filed under the name uncultured bacterium. RNAcentral describes it as "partial 16S ribosomal RNA". It matches the Rfam family "Bacterial small subunit ribosomal RNA", at positions 568 to 796 of the family's 1533-position model. The record is from RNAcentral.